Molecule: long non-coding RNA, 1458 nt
Filed under: Heterocephalus glaber (naked mole-rat)
Lineage: Eukaryota; Metazoa; Chordata; Mammalia; Rodentia; Bathyergidae
Description: lncRNA (ENSHGLG00100051537.1)
Source: RNAcentral
UGACUUUGGUUUUUAUUUUUAUUCUGUUUUUAAAAAUAUUUUUCCAGCUUUAUGGAGGUAUAAUUGACAAAUAAAAAUUGUAUUUACUCAGGCAUAGAGCCUGAUGAUUUGAUAAAUGCUGUGAAAUGAUUACCACAAUCACAUUAACACAAGCAUAAUGGAGAGUUACAAUUGUGUGUCUUGGGAGGUGGUAAGGAUACUUAUAAUCUACUUUUCUGGCAAAUUUUUUUAAAAAUGCAGUAGUGCUAGCUAUGGGUACCACACUGUACAUUAGAUCUCUAGAAUGGAUUCACACUUUAGAACUCAGAGUUGGUAGCCUGAUUUUGGGGGUACCAUGCCCAAAGCACAGGCAACAGAAGCAAGAAUAAACAAGUGGGACUACAGCAAGAUAAAAAGCUCCUACACAGCAAAAACAACCAAAAUGAAAAGACAUCCUAGAAAUGGGAGAAAAUAUUAGCAACCACAUAUUUGAUAAGAGGUUAAUGUCAAAAACAUUACUCAGUACCUCAUGAUUUUGUGUGAGACCAAAGCGACUCCAUUUUGCCAAAAUCCACUAUUCCCCUAGUCUCUAUUGUCCUCACAAAUUAAUGGUUAAAAUGUGCAUGCUCUGGGACAAAAGACACAAUCUGUACCGAAGCAAAGUUCCUAAGUUAAUUACUCAACCAUCUGUUUGCCUAGGAAAAAAAACGUUCUGGGGCCCCUAUCCAUAGAACAAUCUGUAGAUGUGCUGACUGUCAGUACAUAAUGGUCAUGACUAAUAGUCAGUGUGUCUGCUGACCAUCAGUAUGUGACAGUCGACCACAAUAACCUUUGUCCCUCUUUUCCCCUGUAAAACCUACAUGUAACUGCCCCUCAAACCCCCGAUGGGCCUAGCCAAUCAGAAAUAUACACUUCAUGCUUGCAAAAUGCCAACCAAUCAUGUAACUGCUAAGUGAAAAAUAUCCAAACCUUGCUGUAACCACAAUAAAAACCCCGCUAAUUUGAAAUUCGGGGCUCUCAAUUCUGAUCCGCUGCGUCGGUGAUGGUUGUGAGCCCCUGCUCGAGCUUGAAUAAACGACCCUCGUGUGUUUGCAUCAGAAUCAGCUCCUUGGUGGUCUUUGGGGACUUCGCGAUCUGGGUACAACAUUUGGGGGCUCGUCCGGGAUCCCCCAAGACCCCAGGAUCCCCGUACCGGAGGGUCGAUGCCGGCCGAGGUAUUCAGCUGAUCCACAAGGACAUUUGGCCCAAAUUGAGAGCCCUGUAUGAGUCUGGACCGCCUCCUGAGCCCCACUGCUCUCAAGGUUGACGGGGUAGCCACCUGGGUGCACUACACGCACGUCCGGCCAGCGGAUCCCUCCGCGGUUUCAGAAGACUUCAUCCCAACAUGGCAGGUGCCCAGAAAUGAGGACAACCCCUUAGAACUCAAGUUCAAUCGUACAUGAUCUGGAUGCUGAUUGCCUCCUGCUGCACACAAGGAAG